UAGGGCAUCUUCCACAAUGGGCGAAAGCCUGAUGGAGCAACGCCGCGUGUGUGAUGAAGGGUUUCGGCUCGUAAAACACUGUUGUAAGAGAAGAAUGACAUUGAGAGUAACUGUUCAAUGUGUGACGGUAUCUUACCAGAAAGGAACGGCUAAAUACGUGCCAG
Molecule: ribosomal RNA, 164 nt
Filed under: uncultured bacterium
Lineage: Bacteria
Description: partial 16S rRNA
Rfam family: Bacterial small subunit ribosomal RNA
Source: RNAcentral